Molecule: long non-coding RNA, 2461 nt
Organism: Corythoichthys intestinalis (scribbled pipefish)
Lineage: Eukaryota; Metazoa; Chordata; Actinopteri; Syngnathiformes; Syngnathidae
Exons: 3
Source: RefSeq, a predicted model, not a curated record
AACACCUUUCAUUUUAGAAUACGCACACGUUUUUUCAACGACAGGCGCUGAAGUCAAUGUUAAAGGGCAACUGAAGAGCUUUUCAGAUUUCGCUCUUAAGUGUUUUACUCAGUUGAAUUGUAUUAAAUGCGUCAUUCGCUCUCUCAAAAAGUCACAUAAAAAAAAAAUAAUAAUAAUAAUUGGCCGCUUAGUUUUUGAGUUAUGGCCAUAGCAACGAGGGACGCGCCGUCCUGCCGACCCCUACCUCAUGACGUAACUUCCAGGAAGCCUCGCCACCACUCUGAACGCGGAAAUAUAGCACCACGUUAUCCUCGCCAUAUAUUGCAUACAUUUUCUGGGUUUUACUCGGCGGGAUUCGUCAUGCCAUCUCGAUGUGUAGCGAUGAAUUACUCACAGGAAGAUUCGAGACUCUCGGAGUGGUCCCAAAAAAACUUCUCCUGCAAAGCCACGACAGCUUUGAAAACCUACAACAACGCAGCCUUGGUUUUGCAAAGACGAAGCCAAACAUAAAAAAAUAACACGAUGAAAAAAGCGUUGCAAGUCAGUUGCCACCCAGUUUCCCAAAAUCAAGAGAGAGUGGGUCGAGUCAUAUGAUGACCCAAGUGAUGCGGUGUCCAGCGAUGACGACUGAAGAGAUCCUAUGAGGCCUGCCAGAUGCUGAAUUUCUUCCGUCUGUGACAUCAGAUGACGAUGAUUUAGGAGAAAUAAAUGUAGCAAAUUUUGAUGACGUGAAAUCAUAAACUAGUCAUAUAUACAGUACACAUUUUUUAAAAUCAAGUUACCUUCAUAUUUUAAUGAUAAUGCAUUAUCUUUGUAUAGAGAACACUUCAUGCUACAGAAAAGAGUAAAUACAUAUACAUAAAUCUGGUAUUUAUUAUUGUGGCCUAUUAAAUAUUUUUUCAGAAUGUAAUAUAAUUACAAUAUAUUAUAUACCAAUAGAAUACAUUAAACAGUCAACAAAAUGUGUCAGUGUUGUUAACAAUUUAUGGUUUUAUUUUUUUAAUGUAAUUCAUGCCCCUGUCAGUGCAUCAGCCUCCUCAAGUUUGGCUCUCACGUCUGGGAUGUCCUGAUGACACAGGCAUACUCUUGGAAGGGUAAUUACUUGACGGUUUACAGCAACACCUGGAAAAUAAAAUGGUUUUGUCAUUUAUUUUGAAAUAUCAAUAACAUAUCAUUCAUUUAGCCACAUUUGGGCUAGCUUUAUCAUAUUUAGAUCGGUAGGAGUUGUCCCAUUACCUAAUAUCCAGUUUUAGCUAUGUGUAGAGCAUUCAUUUAGCCACAUUUGGGCUAGCUUUAUCAUAUUUAGAUAGGUAGGAGCUGUCCCAUUACCUAAUAUCCAGUUUUAGCUAUGUGUAGAGCAUUCAUUUAGCCACAUUUGGGCUAGCUUUAUCAUAUUUAGAUCGGUAGGAGCUGUCCCAUUACCUAAUAUCCAGUUUUAGCUAUGUGUAGAGCAUUCAUUUAGCCACAUUUGGGCUAGCUUUAUCAUAAUUAGAUCGGUAGGAGCUGUCCCAUUACCUAAUAUCCAGUUUUAGCUAUGUGUAGAGCAUGGAAAAAAUAUACAACCAUGUAAUCGCAUUCUGAUAAAAAAAAAUCACGAUGCUGGACUUACCACUCACUCUCCCGUUCGUGAAGUGUCGAGCUUUCAAUUGGCGUCAUGACGCCAUCUGCUGUGUCAAGUAAAUCGCUGUCAUCUGACGCCUCAGGUUCAAACAUGUAGGGAUUAAUUGUAGUUCAUCUUUCCUGGGAGCCUUUGCCAUCGGUAGCGUCACGAAAGAGCGAUCCUGAAUGGUUACCUGUGGUGGAAAUAUCACUGACAUCGUUGUUGCUGCUAUACUAGCUGUGGGUAGUCUUCUGUUGCCUACGUCACACUUCCGGGUUUGCGAAGGGACCAUUAACGGAGUGCAAAAAAACUAAAAAAACGCAAAUUAUCCUUACAAUUACGUGUUGCUAAUGUCAUGGUUGUUUUGAUGAACUUGUACCAAGUUUAUAUUCAUAAAAUUACACCAAAAUCCGGAAAGGUCUUCAGUUGCCCUUUAAGUUGUGGGGAAAAAAACCUAUGAAUAAAGCCGUUUCAACCAUAAAAGCUCUUUGAUGUGUUUUAUUGGUUUCAGUGUUGUAAGUCGUAAUUUGACAAAGUUACAGUCUGGUUAUUGUAAACAAAGCAUUGUUAUAGGUCUGGUUAUUGUAAACAAAGCAUUGUUAUAGGGUCAUUAUCAAUAUAAAGUGCCUUUUGGUGUCCUCAUCAGAAACACUUAGUUGUCAUGAAAAUGUAUACAAAUAAUUAAACUCUUAUGUCUUGUUAUAGGAGAACAAAGAUUUUCACACAUAUCUAGACUAAACAUGUUUCUUAAAAUGUGUUUCCUUUAUUCUAUGUGUAUUUUUUCCUUUUGAUAUAAUCAGUUUUGGCAUGUCGCACAUACUGCACUGCUAACUUCAGUGUAAUAAAUGAACGAUUUAAAAA